This 246-nucleotide small RNA is filed under the name Mytilus galloprovincialis (Mediterranean mussel). Lineage: Eukaryota; Metazoa; Mollusca; Bivalvia; Mytilida; Mytilidae. The record is from RNAcentral.
CUGAUUCUGCUUCUGACUCUGCAGCUGUUUCUGCUGCUCCUUCUGCUUCCGCUUCAGCUGCGGCAUCUGCUGCUGCCUCCGCCGCUGCGUCUGCUGCUGCGUCUGCUGCUGCUUCUGCUGCGGCCUCUGCUAAUGCCGCUGCUGCUGCAUCCGCGGCAGCCUCUGCUGCUGCGGCAGCUGCAGAAACAGCGACGUCAAUUAUGAUCCCAAUAACUAUACCCAUAGUGUUGAAGACAGAUUUCCGUC